GAUGAACGCUGGCGGCGUGCCUAAUACAUGCAAGUCGAGCGAACAGACGAGGAUCUUGCGCCGCGGACGUGAGCGGCGGACGGGUGAGUAACGCGUGUAUACCCUACCUGUAAUACGGGUAUAACUUCGAGAAACCGGAUCUAAUACCGUAGGAGAUAUUGAACCGCGGUGGGCAAUGGUGAAAUACGGUGGUUCGGGCACGUAUAGAUGGAUCCGCGCCGCAUUAGCGAGUUGUUAAGGUAAAGGCUUACCAAGGCAACGAUGCGUAGUCGAACUGCGAGGGUGAUCGGCCAGCCUGGAACUGUGACCCGCUCCAGACUCAUACGGGAGGCAGCCGUAGGGAAUCUUCAGCCAUGGGCGAAAGCUUGACGGCGAAACGCCGCGUGAGUGAUGAACGUCUUCGGAUCGUAAAAGUCUGUUAUUAGGGAAGAACACACGUGUAAGUAAGUCUGCACGUCUUGAAGGUAACUAAUCAGAAAGCCACGGCCAACUAAGUG
This 497-nucleotide ribosomal RNA is filed under the name uncultured bacterium. Its description in RNAcentral is "partial 16S ribosomal RNA". It matches the Rfam family "Bacterial small subunit ribosomal RNA", at positions 28 to 507 of the family's 1533-position model. The record is from RNAcentral.